This 2906-nucleotide ribosomal RNA is filed under the name Salmonella enterica subsp. enterica serovar London. RNAcentral describes it as "23S ribosomal RNA". It matches the Rfam family "Bacterial large subunit ribosomal RNA". The record is from RNAcentral. RNAcentral also lists the same sequence under 1 other name. Lineage: Bacteria; Pseudomonadati; Pseudomonadota; Gammaproteobacteria; Enterobacterales; Enterobacteriaceae.
GGUUAAGCGACUAAGCGUACACGGUGGAUGCCCUGGCAGUCAGAGGCGAUGAAGGGCGUGCUAAUCUGCGAUAAGCGCCGGUAAGGUGAUAUGAACCGUUAUAACCGGCGAUACCCGAAUGGGGAAACCCAGUGUGAUUCGUCACACUAUCAUUAACUGAAUCCAUAGGUUAAUGAGGCGAACCGGGGGAACUGAAACAUCUAAGUACCCCGAGGAAAAGAAAUCAACCGAGAUUCCCCCAGUAGCGGCGAGCGAACGGGGAGGAGCCCAGAGCCUGAAUCAGCAUGUGUGUUAGUGGAAGCGUCUGGAAAGGCGCGCGAUACAGGGUGACAGCCCCGUACACAAAAGCGCAUGUGCUGUGAGCUCGAUGAGUAGGGCGGGACACGUGGUAUCCUGUCUGAAUAUGGGGGGACCAUCCUCCAAGGCUAAAUACUCCUGACUGACCGAUAGUGAACCAGUACCGUGAGGGAAAGGCGAAAAGAACCCCGGCGAGGGGAGUGAAAAAGAACCUGAAACCGUGUACGUACAAGCAGUGGGAGCACCCUUUGGGGUGUGACUGCGUACCUUUUGUAUAAUGGGUCAGCGACUUAUAUUCUGUAGCAAGGUUAACCGUAUAGGGGAGCCGGAGGGAAACCGAGUCUUAAUUGGGCGUUAAGUUGCAGGGUAUAGACCCGAAACCCGGUGAUCUAGCCAUGGGCAGGUUGAAGGUUGGGUAACACUAACUGGAGGACCGAACCGACUAAUGUUGAAAAAUUAGCGGAUGACCUGUGGCUGGGGGUGAAAGGCCAAUCAAACCGGGAGAUAGCUGGUUCUCCCCGAAAGCUAUUUAGGUAGCGCCUCGUGAAUUCAUCUCCGGGGGUAGAGCACUGUUUCGGCUAGGGGGCCAUCCCGGCUUACCAACCCGAUGCAAACUGCGAAUACCGGAGAAUGUUAUCACGGGAGACACACGGCGGGUGCUAACGUCCGUCGUGAAGAGGGAAACAACCCAGACCGCCAGCUAAGGUCCCAAAGUCAUGGUUAAGUGGGAAACGAUGUGGGAAGGCCCAGACAGCCAGGAUGUUGGCUUAGAAGCAGCCAUCAUUUAAAGAAAGCGUAAUAGCUCACUGGUCGAGUCGGCCUGCGCGGAAGAUGUAACGGGGCUAAACCAUGCACCGAAGCUGCGGCAGCGACGCUUAUGCGUUGUUGGGUAGGGGAGCGUUCUGUAAGCCUGUGAAGGUGUGUCGUGAGGCAUGCUGGAGGUAUCAGAAGUGCGAAUGCUGACAUAAGUAACGAUAAAGCGGGUGAAAAGCCCGCUCGCCGGAAGACCAAGGGUUCCUGUCCAACGUUAAUCGGGGCAGGGUGAGUCGACCCCUAAGGCGAGGCCGAAAGGCGUAGUCGAUGGGAAACGGGUUAAUAUUCCCGUACUUGGUGUUACUGCGAAGGGGGGACGGAGAAGGCUAUGUUGGCCGGGCGACGGUUGUCCCGGUUUAAGCGUGUAGGUGUGUGUUCCAGGUAAAUCCGGUUCACUUUAACACUGAGGCGUGAUGACGAGGCACUACGGUGCUGAAGCAACAAAUGCCCUGCUUCCAGGAAAAGCCUCUAAGCAUCAGGUAACAUCAAAUCGUACCCCAAACCGACACAGGUGGUCAGGUAGAGAAUACCAAGGCGCUUGAGAGAACUCGGGUGAAGGAACUAGGCAAAAUGGUGCCGUAACUUCGGGAGAAGGCACGCUGACACGUAGGUGAAGUGAUUUACUCACGGAGCUGAAGUCAGUCGAAGAUACCAGCUGGCUGCAACUGUUUAUUAAAAACACAGCACUGUGCAAACACGAAAGUGGACGUAUACGGUGUGACGCCUGCCCGGUGCCGGAAGGUUAAUUGAUGGGGUCAGCGCAAGCGAAGCUCCUGAUCGAAGCCCCGGUAAACGGCGGCCGUAACUAUAACGGUCCUAAGGUAGCGAAAUUCCUUGUCGGGUAAGUUCCGACCUGCACGAAUGGCGUAAUGAUGGCCAGGCUGUCUCCACCCGAGACUCAGUGAAAUUGAACUCGCUGUGAAGAUGCAGUGUACCCGCGGCAAGACGGAAAGACCCCGUGAACCUUUACUAUAGCUUGACACUGAACAUUGAGCCUUGAUGUGUAGGAUAGGUGGGAGGCUUUGAAGUGUGGACGCCAGUCUGCAUGGAGCCGACCUUGAAAUACCACCCUUUAAUGUUUGAUGUUCUAACGUGGACCCGUGAUCCGGGUUGCGGACAGUGUCUGGUGGGUAGUUUGACUGGGGCGGUCUCCUCCUAAAGAGUAACGGAGGAGCACGAAGGUUGGCUAAUCCUGGUCGGACAUCAGGAGGUUAGUGCAAUGGCAUAAGCCAGCUUGACUGCGAGCGUGACGGCGCGAGCAGGUGCGAAAGCAGGUCAUAGUGAUCCGGUGGUUCUGAAUGGAAGGGCCAUCGCUCAACGGAUAAAAGGUACUCCGGGGAUAACAGGCUGAUACCGCCCAAGAGUUCAUAUCGACGGCGGUGUUUGGCACCUCGAUGUCGGCUCAUCACAUCCUGGGGCUGAAGUAGGUCCCAAGGGUAUGGCUGUUCGCCAUUUAAAGUGGUACGCGAGCUGGGUUUAGAACGUCGUGAGACAGUUCGGUCCCUAUCUGCCGUGGGCGCUGGAGAACUGAGGGGGGCUGCUCCUAGUACGAGAGGACCGGAGUGGACGCAUCACUGGUGUUCGGGUUGUCAUGCCAAUGGCACUGCCCGGUAGCUAAAUGCGGAAGAGAUAAGUGCUGAAAGCAUCUAAGCACGAAACUUGCCCCGAGAUGAGUUCUCCCUGAGACUUAGAGUCUCCUGAAGGAACGUUGAAGACGACGACGUUGAUAGGCCGGGUGUGUAAGCGCAGCGAUGCGUUGAGCUAACCGGUACUAAUGAACCGUGAGGCUUAACCUU